CGUACGAUACGAGUUUGUCAUGGCUCAGAACGAACGCUGGCGGCAUGCCUAACACAUGCAAGUCGAACGAUCCCUUCGGGGAUAGUGGCGCACGGGUGCGUAACGCGUGGGAACCUGCCCUUAGGUUCGGAAUAACUGAGAGAAAUUUCAGCUAAUACCGGAUAAUGUCUUCGGACCAAAGAUUUAUCGCCUUUGGAUGGGCCCGCGUUGGAUUAGCUAGUUGGUGGGGUAAAGGCCUACCAAGGCGACGAUCCAUAGCUGGUCUGAGAGGAUGAUCAGCCACACUGGGACUGAGACACGGCCCAGACUCCUGCGGGAGGCAGCAGUGGGGAAUAUUGGACAAUGGGGGAAACCCUGAUCCAGCAAUGCCGCGUGAGUGAUGAAGGCCUUAGGGUUGUAAAGCUCUUUUACCAGGGAUGAUAAUGACAGUACCUGGAGAAUAAGCUCCGGCUAACUCCGUG
Molecule: ribosomal RNA, 461 nt
Filed under: uncultured bacterium
Lineage: Bacteria
Description: bacterial SSU rRNA
Rfam family: Bacterial small subunit ribosomal RNA
Source: RNAcentral